Molecule: ribosomal RNA, 901 nt
Filed under: Fomitopsis foedata
Lineage: Eukaryota; Fungi; Basidiomycota; Agaricomycetes; Polyporales; Fomitopsidaceae
Description: Polyporus foedatus partial large subunit ribosomal RNA
Rfam family: Eukaryotic large subunit ribosomal RNA
Source: RNAcentral
GGAAAAGAAACUAACAAGGAUUCCCCUAGUAACUGCGAGUGAAGCGGGAAAAGCUCAAAUUUAAAAUCUGACGGUCUCCGGCCGUCCGAGUUGUAGUCUGGAGAAGUGCUUUCCGCGCUGGACCGUGUACAAGUCUCUUGGAACAGAGCGUCGUAGAGGGUGAGAAUCCCGUCUUUGACACGGACUACCAGUGCUUUGUGAUGCGCUCUCAAAGAGUCGAGUUGUUUGGGAAUGCAGCUCAAAAUGGGUGGUAAAUUCCAUCUAAAGCUAAAUAUUGGCGAGAGACCGAUAGCGAACAAGUACCGUGAGGGAAAGAUGAAAAGCACUUUGGAAAGAGAGUUAAACAGUACGUGAAAUUGCUGAAAGGGAAACGCUUGAAGUCAGUCGCGUUGGCCAGGACUCAGCCUUGCUUUUGCUUGGUGUACUUUCUGGUUUGACGGGCCAGCAUCGAUUUUGACCACUGGAAAAAGGCUGGGGGAAUGUGGCACCUUCGGGUGUGUUAUAGCCCUCUGUCACAUACGGUGGUUGGGAUCGAGGACCGCAGCACGCCUUUAUGGCCGGGGUUCGCCCACGUUCGUGCUUAGGAUGUUGGCGUAAUGGCUUUAAACGACCCGUCUUGAAACACGGACCAAGGAGUCUAACAUGCAUGCGAGUGUUUGGGUGGAAAACCCGAGCGCGUAAUGAAAGUGAAAGUUGAGAUCCCUGUCGUGGGGAGCAUCGACGCCCGGACCUGAACUUCGGUGAUGGAUCUGCGGUAGAGCAUGUAUGUUGGGACCCGAAAGAUGGUGAACUAUGCCUGAAUAGGGUGAAGCCAGAGGAAACUCUGGUGGAGGCUCGUAGCGAUUCUGACGUGCAAAUCGAUCGUCAAAUUUGGGUAUAGGGGCGAAAGACUAAUCGAACC